This is a long non-coding RNA of Onychostruthus taczanowskii (white-rumped snowfinch), 317 nucleotides long. RefSeq lists it as uncharacterized. The record is from RefSeq and is a predicted model, not a curated record. The transcript has 4 exons. NCBI's taxonomy places the organism in Eukaryota, Metazoa, Chordata, Aves, Passeriformes, Passeridae.
GCGGGGAGCGCGGCCUCUCAGCGUGAGCGGCAAUGGCGGCGCGCUGGUGUUGCUGCCGCGGGCCCUGACGAGUCCCCACCGCCCCGCGGGCUCGGGAGGAGCCGUCCUGUCUGACCGCGCUGCUCGGCAUCCCGGGGGAGAUGCGGUAGCGUGGGGUGGAUCCCGCUGGCUGUCACGGCACCCAGGGACGCCAUGGAGCCGCUCCCCGAGCUCUACUCCAUCUUCCAGGGCGAGGUUGCUGCAGUGACAGACUAUGGGGCCUUUAUCAAAAUCCCAGGCUGCAGGAAACAAGAACCCUGCUCUCCACUGUCAGUACC